AGGACGAACGCUGGCGGCGUGCCUAACACGAUGCAAGUCGAGCGGGGACAGCGGAGUAGCAAUACGAAGCUGUCUAGCGGCGGACGGGUGAGUAACGCGUGAGCAACCUGUCCCAGGUCAGGGGGAUAACGAGCCGAAAGGCUCCCUAAUACCGCAUAAGGACCACGAAGUCACAUGGCUUUGAGGUCAAAGGAGAGAUCCGGACUGGGGUGGCUCGCGUCUGAUUAGCUAGUUGGUGAGGUAAAGGCCCACCAAGGCGACGAUCAGUAGCCGACCUGAGAGGGUGAUCGGCCACAUUGGAACUGAGACACGGUCCAAACUCCUACGGGAGGCAGCAGUGGGGAAUAUUGGGCAAUGGGCGAAAGCCUGAACCCCCAGCAACGCCGCGUGAAGGAAGAAGGUCUUCGGAUCGCAAACUUCUAUCCUUGGUGAAGAUAAUGACGGUAGCCGAGAAGGAAGCCCCGGCUAACUACGUGCCAGCAGCCGC
This 487-nucleotide ribosomal RNA is filed under the name uncultured bacterium. RNAcentral describes it as "bacterial SSU rRNA". It matches the Rfam family "Bacterial small subunit ribosomal RNA", at positions 26 to 518 of the family's 1533-position model. The record is from RNAcentral.